Sinocyclocheilus anshuiensis is the source of this 117-nucleotide ribosomal RNA. NCBI's taxonomy places the organism in Eukaryota, Metazoa, Chordata, Actinopteri, Cypriniformes, Cyprinidae. The record is from Ensembl.
UACAGCAGCCAUAUCACCCUGCAGCCCAAGACUGGUUGCCCACUGAAGCUAAGCAGGGUUGAGCCUGGUCAGUACCUGGAUGGGAGACCUCCUGGGAAAACUAGGUUGCUGCUGGAA